AUUGAACGCUGGCGGCAGGCCUAACACAUGCAAGUCGAACGGUAACAGGAAGAAGCUUGCUUCUUUGCUGACGAGUGGCGGACGGGUGAGUAAUGUCUGGGAAACUGCCUGAUGGAGGGGGAUAACUACUGGAAACGGUAGCUAAUACCGCAUAACGUCGCAAGACCAAAGAGGGGGACCUUCGGGCCUCUUGCCAUAGGAUGUGCCCAGAUGGGAUUAGCUAGUAGGUGGGGUAACGGCUCACCUAGGCGACGAUCCCUAGCUGGUCUGAGAGGAUGACCAGCCACACUGGAACUGAGACACGGUCCAGACUCCUACGGGAGGCAGCAGUGGGGAAUAUUGCACAAAGGGCGCAAGCCUGAUGCAGCCAUGCCGCGUGUAUGAAGAAGGCCUUCGGGUUGUAAAGUACUUUCAGCGGGGAGGAAGGGAGUAAAGUUAAUACCUUUGCUCAUUGACGUUACCCGCAGAAGAAGCACCGGCUAACUCCGUG
This 490-nucleotide ribosomal RNA is filed under the name uncultured bacterium. RNAcentral's name for it is "partial 16S ribosomal RNA". It matches the Rfam family "Bacterial small subunit ribosomal RNA", at positions 30 to 507 of the family's 1533-position model. The record is from RNAcentral.